RNAcentral lists this non-coding RNA (25 nucleotides) under Cricetulus griseus (Chinese hamster). The record is from RNAcentral. Lineage: Eukaryota; Metazoa; Chordata; Mammalia; Rodentia; Cricetidae.
ACCAUGGAGACUGAGAACGACCCCC